This 151-nucleotide small nucleolar RNA is filed under the name Neotoma lepida (desert woodrat). Lineage: Eukaryota; Metazoa; Chordata; Mammalia; Rodentia; Cricetidae. The record is from RNAcentral.
ACUUGGCCUUAUCAAAGCCACAGCUGCUUCUCGAUAGCUGCUGUGGUAAUAAAAAGAAAAGGAAAAAAAAAAGAGGCCAGGGGUAAAACAUUUCCUUGACAGUUAUGGUUCUAUUUGCUGUGACUGAACUACAUUUUUGGAAAAAACAUUA